AAGUCAUAACAAGGUUUCCAUAGGUGAACCUGCAGAAGGAUCAUUAAUGAAUUUUGGAGUUCUACUGUGCCUGCCAUUCAUUCGGAUGUGUGCACGUAGUCUCUAUAAAUCCUUAUCAACACCUGUGCACCUUUAAAAGAGGGGGAGUUUUGAUUGAGCAUAUUUUAUUAUGCUUAUGACAAAUAACCUCUUUUUUUUCUUAUACAAACUCUUUAAUGUCUAUUAGAAUGUUCUCUGGCCGCAAGGCUAUAAAAUAUAAACAACUUUUAACAACAGAUCUCUUGGCUCUC
Molecule: unclassified non-coding RNA, 290 nt
Filed under: Minimedusa polyspora
Lineage: Eukaryota; Fungi; Basidiomycota; Agaricomycetes; Cantharellales; Hydnaceae
Description: partial internal transcribed spacer region
Rfam family: Eukaryotic small subunit ribosomal RNA (bases 1-46)
Source: RNAcentral